GUGCCUGUAGCUCAUCCGGAUAGAGCAACAGUUUCCUAAACUGUGUGCGGGAGGUUCGAGUCCUCUCAGGCACGCCA
Molecule: transfer RNA, 77 nt
Filed under: Clostridia bacterium
Lineage: Bacteria; Bacillati; Bacillota; Clostridia
Description: tRNA-Arg
Rfam family: tRNA
About the family: Transfer RNA (tRNA) molecules are approximately 80 nucleotides in length.
Source: RNAcentral